CUACCAAGCUUGAUUUUUUUUACCCUAAAUUCGUCCACCAACAGCCACCUGCUGCUGCUACGGAUGAUAAUGCUUCUUCAAUACUGGAUGGAGUGGAUGUUACUGGAUACCCUGUAUUUAAUGACCCAAAGGUGCACAAGGCAAUUGCAUUUGCAAGGAAAGCUCAUCAUGGCCAGCUUCGCAAAACAGGAGACCCAUAUCUAACCCACUGUAUCAAUACUGCAAAAUUUUAGCUGUGCUAGUUCCCGCAUCCGGCAAAAAGGCUAUUGAUACAGUCAUUUCUGGCAUACUACAUGAUGUAGUUGAUGAUACAGGUGAAAGCUUGUACAACAUAGAGACAGAGUUUGGUGAAGAUAUAGCAAAACUGGUA
Erigeron canadensis is the source of this 370-nucleotide long non-coding RNA. RefSeq lists it as uncharacterized. The transcript is spliced from 4 exons. Lineage: Eukaryota; Viridiplantae; Streptophyta; Magnoliopsida; Asterales; Asteraceae. The record is from RefSeq and is a predicted model, not a curated record.